UCUCCGUUGGUGAACCAGCGGAGGGAUCAUUACCGAGUUUACAACUCCCAAACCCCUGUGAACAUACCUAUCGUUGCCUCGGCGGUGCCCGCUCCGGCGGCCCGCCAGAGGACCCACAAACUCUUGUUUUAUACAGUAUCUUCUGAGUAACACGAUUAAAUAAAUCAAAACUUUCAACAACGGAUCUCUUGAUUCUG
RNAcentral lists this unclassified non-coding RNA (197 nucleotides) under plant metagenome. RNAcentral's name for it is "partial contains small subunit ribosomal RNA, internal transcribed spacer 1, and 5.8S ribosomal RNA". The record is from RNAcentral.